RNAcentral lists this transfer RNA (75 nucleotides) under Candidatus Woykebacteria bacterium RBG_13_40_15. RNAcentral's name for it is "tRNA-Trp". It matches the Rfam family "tRNA". From Rfam's summary of the family: Transfer RNA (tRNA) molecules are approximately 80 nucleotides in length. Their secondary structure includes four short double-helical elements and three loops (D, anti-codon, and T loops). Lineage: Bacteria; Candidatus Woykeibacteriota. The record is from RNAcentral.
AGGGCCAUGGUGUUAGUGGUAGCACGCCGGUCUCCAAAACCGGAAGCAGGGGUUCGAUACCUCUUGGCCCUGCCA